RNAcentral lists this long non-coding RNA (1213 nucleotides) under Homo sapiens (human). RNAcentral's name for it is "HSALNT0392585". Lineage: Eukaryota; Metazoa; Chordata; Mammalia; Primates; Hominidae. The record is from RNAcentral.
CAGGCAAUCCGCUCAUCUUGGCCUCCCAAAGUGCUAGGAUUACAGGAGUUAGCCACUGCUCCCGGCCAGCUGUAAGGUCUUGAGAAGACUGCUGGUGAAGGCUGGGAGGACUGAAAAUUGUCACUGGAGCCUGGAGAAAAGGUCUUUGGACCCAGAUUGGAACUAUACCAUUGGCUCUCCUGGGUUUCAAGCUUGCUUGCUGACUGCAGAUCUUGGGACUUCUCAGCCUCCAUAAUUAUGGAAUGAAGAAGCCUGAAUCUAUGCUGCAAACUCUGGUUUCCACAAGCCUCGUGAAAGAUGAAGAAAGAAGGCUAAGAAGGCUUCCUCCCAAUGGGAUGAUGGUAAGUCUGAAAUCCCAGUUGAUCUGGUGAGAUAUGAAAAAGGGUGAGAUAAUUGUGCUGAGAAAUCAUCUCAGUUUACAGGCACGCACAUCUUCAACACAAAAUGGAGGCUGAUGAGAGUUCAGUUCAAUGACUGUUUCCAACACUAGAGUGGGGCUAUGAAUUGGCAUCAUCCUAGAGAAAUUUCAAGUGGCUUAAGUGGACUUGAAAACAGUACUGUCCUCUCACUUUUUGUCAUUUAGUUUCUUAGAGUCAGAGAUAAUGUCUAAAAAAGGGCAUUUCUCAUAAUAAUUUGUGACCAGGAGAAUCAAUAAAAAAGGAUUUCCCUUGCCAGGAUUUUCAGAGAGAAAACUAUGCUUACAGUCCACAGAAUGACAAAUAUUCAUUGUGUGAUGCUAAUAAAAGUGUAAGGCAUUUUAAAAUUCAAGGGUAUUUUCUUAUAACCAUCUUCUUCAAAGAACUUUGAUCUCUAGUUACCUUAUAUGAUUGAAAACAAUGACUAAAUGAAAUGCUUGUCUCCUCCAAGAAUGGAAUAUAAAGUAUUUACAUAAAUCGAUAUUGCUGGAAAAAAAUCUGCAGAUUCCUUAUGCUUGGGUUCACAUGAAAUAAGUAACUUUCUUCCCCAAAAAGCCAGCUGUGUGAUUACUAAGAGACCAAGUCACAUGGUUUGGAUCUGUGUCCCCCUCCAAAUCUCAUGCUUAGUUGUAAUCCCCAAUGUUGAAGGUGGGGCCUUGUGGGGAGUGAUUUGGUCAUGGGGAUGGUUUCUCGUGAAUAGCUUAGCACUAUCCCUUCUUGAUAUUGUCCUCAUGAUAGUGAGUGAAUUCGUGUGAGAUCUGGUCAUUUAAAAGUGUGUGGUGGCUGGGCGCCGUGGC